This 504-nucleotide ribosomal RNA is filed under the name uncultured bacterium. Its description in RNAcentral is "bacterial SSU rRNA". It matches the Rfam family "Bacterial small subunit ribosomal RNA", at positions 8 to 507 of the family's 1533-position model. The record is from RNAcentral.
AGAGUUUGAUCAUGGCUCAGAUUGAACGCUGGCGGCAUGCUUUACACAUGCAAGUCGAGCGGCAGCGCGGGGGCAACCCUGGCGGCGAGCGGCGAACGGGUGAGUAAUGCAUCGGAACGUGUCCCGUAGUGGGGGAUAACCCGGCGAAAGCCGGGCUAAUACCGCAUAUGCUCUACGGAGGAAAGGGGGGGAUCCGCAAGGACCUCUCGCUAUGGGAGCGGCCGAUGUCCGAUUAGCUUGUUGGUGGGGUAAUGGCUUACCAAGGCGACGAUCGGUAGCUGGUCUGAGAGGAUGAUCAGCCACACUGGGACUGAGACACGGCCCAGACUCCUACGGGAGGCAGCAGUGGGGAAUUUUGGACAAUGGGGCAACCCUGAUCCAGCCAUGCCGCGUGCGGGAAGAAGGCCUUCGGGUUGUAAACCGCUUUUAGUCGGGAAGAAAAGGCCUGGGCGAAUACCCUGGGUUUUGACGGUACCGGCGGAAUAAGCACCGGCUAACUACGUG